Molecule: ribosomal RNA, 392 nt
Filed under: uncultured bacterium
Lineage: Bacteria
Description: partial 16S ribosomal RNA
Rfam family: Bacterial small subunit ribosomal RNA
Source: RNAcentral
AUACGGAGGAUCCGAGCGUUAUCCGGAUUUAUUGGGUUUAAAGGGUGCGCAGGCGGCCAUUUAAGUCAGCGGUUAAAUCGUGGGGCUCAACCCCAUUCUGCCGUUGAUACUGGGUGGCUUGAUUGCGGUCGAGGUUGGCGGACUUCGUUGUGUAGCGGUGAAAUGCAUAGAUAUGACGAAGAACACCGAUUGCGUAGGCAGCUGACCAGACCGCAAAUGACGCUCAUGCACGAAAGUGCGGGGAUCGAACAGGAUUAGAUACCCUGGUAGUCCGCACAGUAAACGAUGAAUACUUGUUUUCGGCGAUAUAAUGUCGGAGGCAAAGCGAAAGCGAUAAGUAUUCCACCUGGGGAGUACGCCGGCAACGGUGAAACUCAAAUGAAUUGACGGGG